Small nuclear RNA from Triticum dicoccoides, 154 nucleotides. RefSeq annotates it as U1 spliceosomal RNA. NCBI's taxonomy places the organism in Eukaryota, Viridiplantae, Streptophyta, Magnoliopsida, Poales, Poaceae. The transcript has a single exon. The record is from RefSeq and is a predicted model, not a curated record.
UUACUUAGCUAAAUGGGUCAAUAAGAGAUCAAGAAGUCUCAUGGCCUAGAUCAAUGGCCUACAUUGCACGUUGUAGGAGCACUGGUUUACCAUCUGCCUACCGGUAGAGUGGACGUUUAUUGUAGAGAGGUUAUGUGUUUGGCGUGGCCCCUAC